CCCUUAGAUGUUCUGGGCCGCACACGCGCUACACUGAUGAAUGCAACGAGCUCUACCCUUGACCGAAAGGCCCGGGUAAACUUGUGAAACUUCAUCGUGAUGGGGAUAGAUUAUUGCAAUUAUUAAUCUUCAAUGAGGAAUUCCUAGUAAGCGCGGGUCAUCAACUCGCGUUGAUUACGUCCCUGCCCUUUGUACACACCGCCCGUCGCUCCUACCGAUUGAAUGGUCCGGUGAAAUCUUCGGAUUGCUGACCAAGAUCCAGCAAUGGAGCUUGGUUGCGAGAAGUUGAUUAAACCUUAUUAUUUAGAGGAAGGAGAAGUCGUAACA
Molecule: ribosomal RNA, 327 nt
Filed under: uncultured eukaryote
Lineage: Eukaryota
Description: partial 18S ribosomal RNA
Rfam family: Eukaryotic small subunit ribosomal RNA
Source: RNAcentral